Molecule: non-coding RNA, 1789 nt
Organism: Ictidomys tridecemlineatus (thirteen-lined ground squirrel)
Lineage: Eukaryota; Metazoa; Chordata; Mammalia; Rodentia; Sciuridae
Source: RefSeq, a predicted model, not a curated record
AUAAAGCUGUCCCUUUCUACUUCAGCUUAGAGCAACUUCAACAAGGAAGACACCAGAAAGAGCACACCGAGAAAUAUUUGAGUGUGUAUAGUUUCAAGCAGGUAGAACAAAUCAUUUUCUAUUUCCACCUCCAUUUCCAUUCAUCCUAACAGAGCAAAAUGAAGAGAAACAUAAAGAUUCAAACAGUUCCUGUCAGUGAACCAUUGAACCUAGAAGACCCAAACAAGGGGAACCUCUUAAGGAUGAGUAAUGGAUGAAUACUGCCUAGUGUCCAAAUAAUUCCACCACAUUUAACUCUAACCAUAACACUAACCAUAAACCUAACAUUCACCUGUUAUCAAACCUUUGAACCUAAAAGAUAUAAACUUGGUGAGCCUAGUGAGGCUAGGGAAAAGAUGAAUCCUGCUCAGUAUCAAAGUAAUCUCACAAAAUUUAACCCUAACACUAACACGCACCAAAACCCUAACAUUAACCCAAACCUUGAACUGAACUCUAACCUGUUAGAAAACCUCUAAACCAGGAGACCCAAACUUUAGGAGCACAGUCAGUCUAGGUAAUAGAGGAAUCCUGCUGAGUAUCAAAGAAAUCCGACCAAAAAAUUUUUGGGAGCUAUUUGAGUACAUGCCUAAUUUUCUGUUUUCUUUUUAAUGUGAUCCCACAUAAAGUUGUUCCUUUCUGCUUCACCUUAGGGCUACUUCAACAAGGAACAAACCAGAGAGGACACACUGAGAACUGAUUGAGUGUGUGAACUUUCAAGAAGCUUAUGCAAAUUCUAUUUGAUUUCCACAUCUAUUUCCAUUCAUUUGUAUAGAGCAAAAUGAAGUAAAAGUGAAAAUCCAAACUGUUUCUACAAGCAAACCAUUGAACCAAGAAGACCUAAACUUGCAGUACCUGGUUCAAUGGUUCCCUUGAAGGUUCCUGUUUCAUUUCAUGUUGCCCUAUACAGAUGUAUGUAAAUGAUGGUGGUAAGCAAACAAGAUUUGUGCUACCUGCUUUAAAGUUCACCCACUUAAUCAGUUUUCAGUGCACAGUCUCUGGUUUGUUUCCUUUGAAAUUGCCAUAAGCUGAAGUAGAAAAGGACAGCUAUUUCUGUGAACACUUUAGGAGCAAGCAGUUGAACACACAUGUACUGAAAUAUCUCCAAAGUAUUUUUGGUCGGAUUUUUCGGACACAUGGAAGGAUGCAUCUUACACCCGGCUUCGCUGGGCUCACUAAGUUUGGAUCUUCUAAAAAACAGGUUCACUGCAGUGAACACUUAGUACAUCAGCCUUUGUCAGGACCUCUAAAUAUUUUUUUUCAUGAUCCACCAGAGGUGGAAUUACUGCAUACAUUCUGUGUCUAUUUUAUGGUUCCCUAAUUAGCCAGAGUAGUGGUGCCAUAUAUAAAUAUUGAUCAAAGAAUAGCAAAGAAGAGGGCAGAUCUUAUUGCAUUCCCACAACCUGGACUUGAAUACUUGGUCUGAAUCCUUGCUAAGUGGAUAGGCAAGAAGCACUAUUUCAUGCCCAGAUGCAAGAUCCAAAUCAGAUGCCAUGCUCACAGGUCCAUCACUACUGUGGAACAGCUGUGGAGACUUCCUUCUCUGGGUUUUAAUGUGGUUACCCUGUGGUUGUGGAUCUUUUUUCACCAUAGUAUUAUAUUGGGUGUGAAACUAGCUAUGGAGACCACUGAAUGUGUACUUGUGUGGACACUUGCACUCUGCUCUUUGGGACUAUUUAUGGUACCACUUCUCUGAAGUGUCACUUCUCAAUACAUAUAAAGAAACUGUAGAUUGUACAUUCCCUCCCCCUGA